UGGGGAAUUUUGGACAAUGGGGGAAACCCUGAUCCAGCCAUCCCGCGUGUGCGAUGAAGGCCUUCGGGUUGUAAAGCACUUUUGGCAGGAAAGAAACGUCAUGGGUUAAUACCCCGUGAAACUGACGGUACCUGCAGAAUAAGCACCGGCUAACUACGUGCCAGCAGCCGCGGUAAUACGUAGGGUGCAAGCGUUAAUCGGAAUUACUGGGCGUAAAGCGUGCGCAGGCGGUUCGGAAAGAAAGAUGUGAAAUCCCAGAGCUCAACUUUGGAACUGCAUUUUUAACUACCGGGCUCGAGUGUGUCAGAGGGAGGUGGAAUUCCGCGUGUAGCAGUGAAAUGCGUAGAUAUGCGGAGGAACACCGAUGGCGAAGGCAGCCUCCUGGGAUAACACUGACGCUCAUGCACGAAAGCGUGGGGAGCAAACAGG
RNAcentral lists this ribosomal RNA (429 nucleotides) under Acidobacteriota bacterium. RNAcentral describes it as "Acidobacteria bacterium partial 16S ribosomal RNA". It matches the Rfam family "Bacterial small subunit ribosomal RNA", at positions 355 to 776 of the family's 1533-position model. Lineage: Bacteria; Pseudomonadati; Acidobacteriota. The record is from RNAcentral.